ACACUUUGCUAGGGGUCCGGGCUAAGCCGGUGAGAGAUACCCUCUGAACCUGAUACGGGUAAUACCGUCGUAGGGAAGCAUUGCCGCCACAAU
Molecule: non-coding RNA, 93 nt
Filed under: Betaproteobacteria bacterium
Lineage: Bacteria; Pseudomonadati; Pseudomonadota; Betaproteobacteria
Description: TPP sequence
Rfam family: TPP riboswitch aptamer (THI element)
About the family: Vitamin B(1) in its active form thiamin pyrophosphate (TPP) is an essential coenzyme that is synthesised by coupling of pyrimidine and thiazole moieties in bacteria. The previously detected thiamin-regulatory element, thi box was extended, resulting in a new, highly conserved RNA secondary structure, the THI element, which is widely distributed in eubacteria and also occurs in some archaea. Analysis of operon structures identified a large number of new candidate thiamin-regulated genes, mostly transporters, in various prokaryotic organisms.
Source: RNAcentral